CCCCGCCAGAGCACUACGAGCUACAGCUUAAAACUCAAAGGACUUGGCGGUGCCCUACACCCACCUAGAGGAGCCUGUUCUAUAAUUGAUAAUCCCCAAUGAACCUCACCGCCUUUUGCAAGUACAGCCUAUAUACCACCGUCACAAGCCCACCCUAUCAAAGGAGUAAUAGUAGGCUAAAUAAUUAAAAAUAAAAAAGUCAGGUCAAGGUGUAGCAUAUAAGUCGGAAAGAAAUGGGCUACAUUUUCUUCAAAGAAAACACGGAAAACCUUCAUGAAAUAUGGUUUGAAGGAGGAUUUAGCAGUAAAAAGAGAGUAGAGAGCUCUUUUAAAAUUGGCAAUAGGACGAGCACACACCGCCCGUCACCCUCUUUAAAAGAUCACAAACACUUUAGAAGAGGAAAGUCGUAACAUGGUAAGUCUACCGGAAGGUGGCCUUGGAA
RNAcentral lists this ribosomal RNA (442 nucleotides) under Pseudoeurycea saltator. RNAcentral describes it as "partial 12S ribosomal RNA". It matches the Rfam family "Bacterial small subunit ribosomal RNA", at positions 867 to 1522 of the family's 1533-position model. The record is from RNAcentral. Lineage: Eukaryota; Metazoa; Chordata; Amphibia; Caudata; Plethodontidae.